GACGAACGCUGGCGGCGUGCUUAACACAUGCAAGUCGAACGUGAUUUUUGUGGAAAUUCUUUCGGGAAUGGAAAUGAAAUGAAGGUGGCGAACGGGUGAGUAACACGUGAGCAACCUACCUUACACAGGGGGAUAGCCGUUGGAAACGACGAUUAAUACCGCAUGAGACCACAGAAUCGCAUGAUAUAGGGGUCAAAGAUUUAUCGGUGUAAGAAGGGCUCGCGUCUGAUUAGCUAGUUGGAAGGGUAAAGGCCUACCAAGGCGACGAUCAGUAGCCGGUCUGAGAGGAUGAACGGCCACAUUGGAACUGAGACACGGUCCAAACUCCUACGGGAGGCAGCAGUGGGGAAUAUUGCACAAUGGGGGGAACCCUGAUGCAGCGACGCCGCGUGAGCGAAGAAGGUUUUCGAAUCGUAAAGCCCUGUCCUAUGAGAAGAUAAUGACGGUAUCAUAGGAGGAAGCCCCGGCUAAAUACGUG
This 478-nucleotide ribosomal RNA is filed under the name uncultured bacterium. RNAcentral's name for it is "partial 16S ribosomal RNA". It matches the Rfam family "Bacterial small subunit ribosomal RNA", at positions 28 to 507 of the family's 1533-position model. The record is from RNAcentral.